Molecule: long non-coding RNA, 265 nt
Organism: Pieris brassicae (large cabbage white)
Lineage: Eukaryota; Metazoa; Arthropoda; Insecta; Lepidoptera; Pieridae
Exons: 2
Source: RefSeq, a predicted model, not a curated record
UUGCAACAGGGUUCAAUUGAUUAUGAAGACAAUCUGCAACUAAGGUUAACUAUGAAAGCUGUACCAUGCUCAACAGGAAGGACGAGGGCUCUUUGGGGAAAAUGCAUUUCUUGUGCAAGAUACUACAACUUUUUCCAGAAAGAAGGAGAGGGCUGUCCACCGUACUGACUACAACAAAUCUGUCAUUUCUAAACAGUUCGAUCGCAACGAAACAUAUAUUAAUUUAAUUAAAAAAUAACGCAUCAAUAAAAGAGUCUUUUGCUAA